This 67-nucleotide transfer RNA is filed under the name Paratrichobius longicrus. RNAcentral describes it as "tRNA-Glu". Lineage: Eukaryota; Metazoa; Arthropoda; Insecta; Diptera; Streblidae. The record is from RNAcentral.
AUUUAUAUAGUUUAAUAAAAACAUUACAUUUUCAAUGUAAAUUUAAAAUAAUUUUUUUUUAUAAAUU